This is a long non-coding RNA of Camelina sativa (false flax), 867 nucleotides long. RefSeq lists it as uncharacterized. The record is from RefSeq and is a predicted model, not a curated record. Lineage: Eukaryota; Viridiplantae; Streptophyta; Magnoliopsida; Brassicales; Brassicaceae.
AUAAAAAAAAUUAUUUUCUUCUUCUUCGGUUCCGUCUCUCUUCUCUCUCUCUCUCUCUUUUGAAGGCUCCAACAACGAAAGCAAAUCCAGAAAGUAUAAUCCGUUGAACUGAGAGGAGAUAUGAGUCAAAAAUUUAUAUCUCGUCGUCGUGUUCAUCAUCUCCACCGAAGCUGACACCAUCAACAAUUUCAGUUCAUCAAAUCAGAACCAUAUCGGUUCACCAAAUCGGAGAUUCAAGUGGUUAAAAUUGGACAGUUUGGUUCAAUGAUGCUCCAGUCUCUUUAUCUGGUAAGAAAAUCUAAGUAUCUCUAUAAUUUCAUUUGUAAUUGAGAUUUUAUGUUAGCAAAAUUAGAGUUCAACGAAUUGGAAAUUGAUGUUAGUAAAAUUAGGGUUCUAUGAUGUUAGCAGAGUGGGAAUUGAGAAUUGAUCUGUUUGUUUGAAUAAUUUGUUUGAGUGACAGAUUGUUUCGUUUUUGAUCCCUAAUUUGAGGUUUUUUGGUUUGAAUAUGAAUCUGAGUUUUUGACAAGAUCAAUGGAUUUGAUCUGUUCUACUGUUUUUGCUGAGGUUUAUUGGAGAAUUUGCAACAAAUUCAAGACAUAUUGAAACAGAGACUUUCUACUGAGGUCAUACAAGGCUGCAUAUAUUGAUGAAGCUGUGAGAUGCAAAUUUCGACUGCAUAAAUGACAAGUUUUGAGAGUGUGUAUCAAGUUAACUUGAGAGUCAAAAUAUUUUGUACAUAUGAUUUUGAUUUUCAAAUUUUCAGUUUUAAGAACUCUACCAUUGGAGUAUGUUUUUUUUUUAAACAGUCAUGAGUUUCUUAGAAUUUGAUUUAGCUAUAUUUCUAUCAAAAAUAUGGUUAAAACUCCA